Molecule: ribosomal RNA, 253 nt
Filed under: uncultured archaeon
Lineage: Archaea
Description: partial 16S ribosomal RNA
Rfam family: Archaeal small subunit ribosomal RNA
Source: RNAcentral
UCCCGGCAGUCCAAGUCGCAUCCCUUUUUAUUGGGUCUAAAACAUCCGUAGCUUGUUAUUUAAGUCUCUUGUGAAAUCCUAUGUCUCAAGCAUAGGGCUUGCGGGAGAUACUGAAUAGCUAGAGAUCGGUAGACGUGAGGAGUACGCCGGAGGUAGUGGUAAAAUACGUUAAUCUUCGGUGGACUAACAAUCAGCGAAGGCACCUUACGAGAACGAAUCUGACAGUGAGGGAUGAAGGCCAGGGGCGCAAAAC